GUAAAAAAACGCAGUUUGGUGAGUUUUGUUUGGUGAGGGAACGCAAAGGUUCUUGGGAGAAUGCAAAGGUUUAGUGAACAAACGCAAAGGUUUGGUGAGGGAACGCAAAGGUUCUCGGGGGAAUGUAAAGGUUUGACUAGGGGACGCAAAGAUUUAGUGAACG
This is a non-coding RNA of Pimephales promelas (fathead minnow), 163 nucleotides long. NCBI's taxonomy places the organism in Eukaryota, Metazoa, Chordata, Actinopteri, Cypriniformes, Leuciscidae. The record is from RefSeq and is a predicted model, not a curated record.